RNAcentral lists this ribosomal RNA (432 nucleotides) under uncultured bacterium. RNAcentral's name for it is "partial 16S ribosomal RNA". It matches the Rfam family "Bacterial small subunit ribosomal RNA", at positions 29 to 507 of the family's 1533-position model. The record is from RNAcentral.
ACGAACGCUGGCGGCAUGCCUAACACAUGCAAGUCGAACGAGACCUUCGGGUCUAGUGGCGCACGGGUGCGUAACGCGUGGGAACCUGCCCUUAGGUUCGGAAUAACUCCCCGAAAGGGGUGCUAAUACCGGAUAAUGUCUUCGGACCAAAGAUUUAUCGCCUUUGGAUGGGCCCGCGUUGGAUUAGCUAGUUGGUAGGGUAAAAGCCUACCAAGGCGACGAUCCAUAGCUGGUCUGAGAGGAUGAUCAGCCACACUGGGACUGAGACACGGCCCAGACUCCUACGGGAGGCAACAGUGGGGAAUAUUGGACAAUGGGCGAAAGCCUGAUCCAGCAAUGCCGCGUGAGUGAUGAAGGCCUUAGGGUUGUAAAGCUCUUUUACCCGGGAUGAUAAUGACAGUACCGGGAGAAUAAGCUCCGGCUAACUCCGUG